AUUGAACGCUGGCGGCAGGCUUAACACAUGCAAGUCGAGCGGGGUGAUGGUGCUUGCACUAUCACUUAGCGGCGGACGGGUGAGUAAUGCUUAGGAAUCUGCCUAUUAGUGGGGGACGACAUCUCGAAAGGGAUGCUAAUACCGCAUACGUCCUACGGGAGAAAGCAGGGGAUCACUUGUGACCUUGCGCUAAUAGAUGAGCCUAAGUCGGAUUAGCUAGUUGGUGGGGUAAAGGCCUACCAAGGCGACGAUCUGUAGCGGGUCUGAGAGGAUGAUCCGCCACACUGGGACUGAGACACGGCCCAGACUCCUACGGGAGGCAGCAGUGGGGAAUAUUGGAGAAUGGGGGGGAACCCUGAUCCAGCCAUGCCGCGUGUGUGAAGAAGGCCUUAUGGUUGUAAAGCACUUUAAGCGAGGAGGAGGCUCUUUUGGUUAAUACCAAAGAUGAGUGGACGUUACUCGCAGAAUAAGCACCGGCUAACUCUGUGCCAGCAGCCGCAGUAA
Molecule: ribosomal RNA, 504 nt
Filed under: uncultured bacterium
Lineage: Bacteria
Description: partial 16S ribosomal RNA
Rfam family: Bacterial small subunit ribosomal RNA
Source: RNAcentral